UGGGGAAUAUUGGACAAUGGGCGAAAGCCUGAUCCAGCCAUGCCGCGUGUGUGAAGAAGGUCUUCGGAUUGUAAAGCACUUUAAGUUGGGAGGAAGGGCAGUAAGUUAAUACCUUGCUGUUUUGACGUUACCAACAGAAUAAGCACCGGCUAACUUCGUGCCAGCAGCCGCGGUAAUACGAAGGGUGCAAGCGUUAAUCGGAAUUACUGGGCGUAAAGCGCGCGUAGGUGGUUCAGCAAGUUGGAUGUGAAAUCCCCGGGCUCAACCUGGGAACUGCAUCCAAAACUACUGAGCUAGAGUACGGUAGAGGGUGGUGGAAUUUCCUGUGUAGCGGUGAAUUGCGNNNNUAUUUUAGAAAAAAAAAAAAACCCCGGGGGAAACAACCCCCCGACCGGAAUUUUAAUUAUAAAUGGGAGANNGGGGGGGANAGGGGAAAAAAAACUGUUAGUCCACGCCGUAAACGAUGUCGACUAGCCGUUGGGAUCCUUGAGAUCUUAGUGGCGCAGCUAACGCGAUAAGUCGACCGCCUGGGGAGUACGGCCGCAAGGUUA
This 551-nucleotide ribosomal RNA is filed under the name uncultured bacterium. Its description in RNAcentral is "partial 16S rRNA". It matches the Rfam family "Bacterial small subunit ribosomal RNA", at positions 355 to 896 of the family's 1533-position model. The record is from RNAcentral.